This 1919-nucleotide long non-coding RNA is filed under the name Heterocephalus glaber (naked mole-rat). RNAcentral describes it as "lncRNA (ENSHGLG00100045987.1)". The record is from RNAcentral. Lineage: Eukaryota; Metazoa; Chordata; Mammalia; Rodentia; Bathyergidae.
GGAAGGCAGCAGUUGAUUUUCUGUCCCUUAUGUUCCAUCUAGGCUACACACCCUUGGGGCAGGUAGCAGUCACACCCAGGGAGGGCCUUCCCAUUAUCCACACCCAGAACCAUGCCAGACUGAUCAGUGGACUCAUUUAGUAAUCACACACCCCUGAUCCCAGCAUCACACACGCUAGAUCCAGCCACCUCUGAAAAGCCCCACCUAUGACCCCAUGAGGCUUUAGGGGACAUCUAGACACAAGUCAUAACACCGUGAGGUCCCUGAAGAUCACACUUAGGAUUCUGUAUUAUGGCCAUGUGUGACAUGACACCUGGGUCCUCCUUUCUGUCGGUACCUGGUGGAUCUGGGCCAGGAGGUUACAGCUUUAUCAAAUCAUCUGGGAGCUUUCUGCUUCCCUGGAGCCCGAGGGCCAGGCAUGGGGCUCUGCCCUGGUCCCAGCCUGGCCCUCACUGGUGGUCUUCCGCACCCAGUGGCUGCCUCUGUGUCUUGAUGGCUUUUGUUUUCCUCCAUGAGCCAGUCUGCCCAGGAGUCGUCGGCCUCCUCAAUUUGCAGCUGCUUUGCAGGGUCUUGCUGGCCUGGAAAGUGAAACCCUUCCUCCUCAGCCUCCUGCGCAGCCCAGCUAUGGAAUUCCAAGACAUAAUUCCAUUUUGUCCUCCGCUCCCAACUGAGACCUCAAUGAUCCGGUGAUGCUGUGAUUCUCCAGGACAGGAAACAUCCUGGGAGCUGCAAACAUCCUGGGAGAACAAACAUCUACUCAGUUCCUCCUUGAUCUUGGACUGUUACACCUUGUUUACCCAGGAUGUACUGAACUCUCUGCGAGUCAUUUGUUACAUUUGUUUCUCCCGAUGUACUGAGUACUGAAUAAAAGGUGCAGUAAGCUGGGGGCUUUCUGCCUUUGCCCCCCAGAGCAGCACUGAUCAGACCCAAAGCUCAGCUUCUUCUCAGUCUCAUUUUUCUACCUUUUCUGUAAUUUGCCUUGUGCUGCUGUGGCUCGCAGGAGACUAGGACUUAACUGCAGAGGUUCUGGUAACGUCCCCUUUCCCUGUUCUCUACAACAGUGCUAUCACAUUAUCCUCUCAAUUGUAGGAUUACAGGUUGUGGCAUUUUAUCUAUAGUUUCAAGUGUUAUACAACGAAUCUGUAUUACUUGUAAAGCAAAACUAUAAGUGUGAAAAAGAAAAUCAUCUCUAGCUUUUUCAAAAGCAGAUUAUUUUGGCAUUUCCCCAGAACGGCUGUGUCUCAGCAUGGCACUGUGGGCCAUGAAGGGAUGCUCAGCAUCUGCACAGGGUCGUUCCUUGACUUCCUCUAAUACGGUGGACUGCGUUGUUUUUCUUUCUUUCUUUUUUUUUUUGGUACCGGGGAUUGGACUGCAUUUUUAAGAAGUUAUUGAGAAUGUAAUUGAGUUUCUUCUAGCUUCUCAUCCCUUCAGGGCUGCUGCCAACCUGGGAAUGUCCUGUCAGCUCGUUUGUGUAUCCUUGUGUCCUUCAGUGAGCCCUCCACUCACCCUAUGUGCAUUCUUCUAGGGACAUGAUAUUUCAACUCAAAAGGCAGCUUUUAAAGGGGAUAUAUUUACUCUGUGCUGCCACUAUGGAAAUCAGUACAGAGGUUCCACAAAAAACUAAAAACAGAGGGAAUGGAGAUUUAGCUCAGUGGUUCCGCCGCCUGCCUUGCAAGCACAAGGUCCUGAGUUCAAUCCCCGGUACCCCCCCCCCAAUAAAUAAAAUAAUCACAACUAUAAUGAAAAACAUUACAUUCUCACAAUUGAAAAAAAACCCCAAUAACAAAAAACUAAAAACAGCUAUUAUAAGCCCCAGGCCCCAGAGAUACCACUCCUUGGUGUACACAGGAAGGCAUUAGGCAGCCUACUAUAGGCAUACUGGGGAGCCAUAUUUAUUGCUGCAAAAUUCACCAUCGUCA